Long non-coding RNA from Pezoporus occidentalis (night parrot), 2138 nucleotides. RefSeq lists it as uncharacterized. The record is from RefSeq and is a predicted model, not a curated record. The transcript is spliced from 2 exons. NCBI's taxonomy places the organism in Eukaryota, Metazoa, Chordata, Aves, Psittaciformes, Psittacidae.
GCAGCGGUCACAGUUGAUGCCUGUCACACGUGUGUAAUGUCAUCAGCAGGAGAGCUGGUUGCUUAAGUUAGGAUUCAAUUGAACCCGUAGUGAAAUCACCAGGUCUGGUUCAACCUGUAGCUGCUUCAGUACUCGGACAAAGCCCCAGGCUGCGCUUUGGCGCAGCAUCUGUGUGCAGGCAGGAUUUAAUGACCUAUUAGGAGAUGCAACAGCUUGCUGCAAGAGCUGGGUGCUUCACUCUUUAUCACAGGCUUGGGCCAAGUGCAAGGUAAUAACCAGGUUAGUUUACGGAUGUUGGUCAAUUCUACUGUCCUCAGUCAUGUUACAUCCUUUUGUCAACACUCAGCUAGUUUUGGGGCAGGAGCUGUGAUACUCAGACCUAACCUUCCCCGCGGAAAUGCAUGUGAAGGUCAAGGCUGUGCUACCGUCGCAGCUCUGCCGUGCAUGUCAAACUGUGUUGUGGUGGUGUUGGAGCCAAAGCCUCCAGCGGGCUGUGGCCCUUACUUCUGGCUGCUCUGUUAUCAUUCCAUCUCUCUUGGAUAACAAACCUGUUACGGGAAUUACUGGGGAGAAGCCAGAAGCAGGCUGCGGUUUUGGAAACAACGAUGCUCGCUGUGGCUGCUGCUUCUAAGGAGUUACAAACCGCACCCAGCGCUGCCUGGGGCAGCAGUAUUCCUUGUGCUUUCCCUGGUCUUCUGCACGUCUCUGCAGUUCCCAGCUGGGAUCUAGAGCCGGUGCUGCACUUCCCUCCAGCGAGACCCCCAUCGGAAUCAGUGCUGCUUGGAGAAAUGCCAUGUCUGGAGAUGGGAGGACUUGGGAAGCCGUGCUCCAGGUGUGCCGGGAUGCCUUUCAGCCUUUAAAAAGCUGGAUUUUUGCAUCUGUUCAGCUCUGAAGUGUACAAAACACAGCUUGCAGGAUGAGGCAGCAGGAAUCUGUGGCAUCUGCUCGCAGUUCCAAGUCUUAGGCUUUCCCACAGCUGGGAGCAGCCAGCCGGGGACACUCCUCGAUGUACAACCGCAUUCUGGGAAGGAAGCGUAAAUCAUGCCAGGCUCUGUCGGUCAGAACUGGGUUCUGUGCUGCCACCACACCACCACACGUGGUUUUCCUCUGCCGCUGCCCAGCUUGGUCUGCAAGCGCUUGCUGUCUCCUGAGAGCACUGGCUGUGAGCUUCAGGGGCAGGCUGAGCGGUUGUGGGAGCUCUGCAGGGCCUGCAGCUGCUCCGUGCGUACACAAUGAAUGCCAAGGCAUUAGUGGGAGGCGUGUAACUACAAGCAGUUGUAGUUCCAGGAACUUCAGCCGUGUCCCUCCAGGGUUGGAUGUGGGGGGAGAAGGGGAAGGUGAGAAUAAACCGACAGCAAAUAAUAUUCAAAGCAGGCUUCUGGCUCACAGUCUCGAUUUGCCAUACGAAUGUUAUAUGAAGGACUUUGUGGGAAGGCACCUCCACCUCGUGAAGCUCACUGAAAAGUUUCCUUAUUGCAAAUCCAGCCUGUGCCUCUUGAAGUUUGGGGUGGCACGUGGGGGUUUCCAGGGAACGGUGUUCUUUCUUUUCACUGUCUUGUAAGAUAUUCUAGCUCCUCCAGUGCUCCAGGAGCAGCCAGCCGUGCCUGGGGAAUGUCCGUGUGUGCAGGAGCUUUGCAGCCUUAUUUGGGAAGCUGCUUCCCAGGCAGAGGUCAGCACUCUAAUGGCACUUACAUCCUUCUGGUUGAGCAAUAUUGAUCUCCCUCUAAGAACUUCACUCUUAGCCAAUCUGUCCAUGAAAUGUAGAGCCCAGGCUCUGCAAACCCUACAGAGGCAAUGAUGGUGUCUCCAAAAUGUGGGCCUAACUUUGCUAUCAAGGUUUGGUGCAAGUUCUGAGGAGGCUUUGGCAUCGCUGAGUCUUCCAAGAGCCAGUCAAGUUUUCAGGGCAAUACACAAAGUACCUGUUCAUGCUGAUACCAGAAUGUUCCCAGCAGCUAAGUAGGUUUUGUUGGAUGCAUAAUGCUGGGUUUGGGUUGAAGUCUAGCUUUUGUGGCUAAGGAUCAAUCUGCUAAUUAUGAAAUACAAUGCUAGGAUCUUUCUGCAGUCUCACUGUAAGGAGAUGUAAUUUGUAAUGGCCACGUUCAUCUUACAGUCACCCUAAGUAAAUAAUAUGUUCUGGA